Molecule: ribosomal RNA, 450 nt
Filed under: Sphingobium yanoikuyae
Lineage: Bacteria; Pseudomonadati; Pseudomonadota; Alphaproteobacteria; Sphingomonadales; Sphingobiaceae
Description: bacterial SSU rRNA
Rfam family: Bacterial small subunit ribosomal RNA
Source: RNAcentral
AGUUUGAUCCUGGCUCAGAACGAACGCUGGCGGCAUGCCUAAUACAUGCAAGUCGAACGAGAUCUUCGGAUCUAGUGGCGCACGGGUGCGUAACGCGUGGGAAUCUGCCCUUGGGUUCGGAAUAACUUCUGGAAACGGAAGCUAAUACCGGAUGAUGACGUAAGUCCAAAGAUUUAUCGCCCAAGGAUGAGCCCGCGUAGGAUUAGCUAGUUGGUGGGGUAAAGGCCCACCAAGGCGACGAUCCUUAGCUGGUCUGAGAGGAUGAUCAGCCACACUGGGACUGAGACACGGCCCAGACUCCUACGGGAGGCAGCAGUAGGGAAUAUUGGACAAUGGGCGAAAGCCUGAUCCAGCAAUGCCGCGUGAGUGAUGAAGGCCUUAGGGUUGUAAAGCUCUUUUACCCGGGAUGAUAAUGACAGUACCGGGAGAAUAAGCNCCGGCUAACUCCGU